Cyprinus carpio carpio is the source of this 310-nucleotide long non-coding RNA. The record is from Ensembl. Lineage: Eukaryota; Metazoa; Chordata; Actinopteri; Cypriniformes; Cyprinidae.
CAGACAUAUUUCGACAUUUUAGACAUACAUCAAUCAAGGGCAGUGAGUGAUUUUCUCACUGUUUUUUUGUUUGAUUAACAUUAUGAACAGACAACAGCAAGCAAAUUAGGGCCGCAGUCCCUUCCAAACUGAAUGCUCCCAACUGUUUACGAUCACUUAAGUCAUAACCGAGUGUGUUUACCAUAACCUUUGGAGAUCGGUUUGGAAGACCCAAUUGACCACUGACCAGAGGAACACUCUUUUGUGCCUGUAAGAUUGCCUCAUGGAGAAUGUCUUGUCCGGUCCUGCUGUGCGCCCUGUGAUUCAGUGC